CAGGAUUAGAUACCCUGGUAGUCCACGCCGUAAACGAUGUCGACUUGGAGGUUGUGCCCUUGAGGCGUGGCUUCCGGAGCUAACGCGUUAAGUCGACCGCCUGGGGAGUACGGCCGCAAGGUUAAAACUCAAAUGAAUUGACGGGGGCCCGCACAAGCGGUGGAGCAUGUGGUUUAAUUCGAUGCAACGCGAAGAACCUUACCUGGUCUUGACAUCCACGGAAGUUUUCAGAGAUGAGAAUGUGCCUUCGGGAACCGUGAGACAGGUGCUGCAUGGCUGUCGUCAGCUCGUGUUGUGAAAUGUUGGGUUAAGUCCCGCAACGAGCGCAACCCUUAUCCUUUGUUGCCAGCGGUCCGGCCGGGAACUCAAAGGAGACUGCCAGUGAUAAACUGGAGGAAGGUGGGGAUGACGUCAAGUCAUCAUGGCCCUUACGACCAGGGCUACACACGUGCUACAAUGGCGCAUACAAAGAGAAGCGACCUCGCGAGAGCAAGCGGACCUCAUAAAGUGCGUCGUAGUCCGGAUUGGAGUCUGCAACUCGACUCCAUGAAGUCGGAAUCGCUAGUAAUCGUGGAUCAGAAUGCCACGGUGAAUACGUUCCCGGGCCUUGUACACACCGCCCGUCACACCAUGGGAGUGGGUUGCAAAAGAAGUAGGUAGCUUAACCUUCGGGAGGGCGCUUACCACUUUGUGAUUCAUGACUGGGGUGAAGUCGUAACAAGGUAACCGUAGGGGAACCUGCGGUUGGAUCACCUCCUU
This 759-nucleotide ribosomal RNA is filed under the name Escherichia coli. RNAcentral describes it as "bacterial SSU rRNA". It matches the Rfam family "Bacterial small subunit ribosomal RNA", at positions 773 to 1532 of the family's 1533-position model. Lineage: Bacteria; Pseudomonadati; Pseudomonadota; Gammaproteobacteria; Enterobacterales; Enterobacteriaceae. The record is from RNAcentral.